UACGUAGGGGGCAAGCGUUGUCCGGAAUCAUUGGGCGUAAAGCGCGUGUAGGCGGUUCGGUAAGUCUGCUGUGAAAGUCCAGGGCUCAACCCUGGGAUGCCGGUGGAUACUGUCGGACUAGAGUACGGAAGAGGCGAGUGGAAUUCCCGGUGUAGCGGUGAAAUGCGUAGAUAUUGGGAGGAACACCAGUGGCGAAGGCGGCUCACUGGACCGGAACUGACGCUGAGGCGCGAAAGCGUGGGGAGCAAACAGG
This 253-nucleotide ribosomal RNA is filed under the name uncultured bacterium. Its description in RNAcentral is "partial 16S ribosomal RNA". It matches the Rfam family "Bacterial small subunit ribosomal RNA", at positions 524 to 776 of the family's 1533-position model. The record is from RNAcentral.